Non-coding RNA from Schizosaccharomyces pombe (fission yeast), 538 nucleotides. Lineage: Eukaryota; Fungi; Ascomycota; Schizosaccharomycetes; Schizosaccharomycetales; Schizosaccharomycetaceae. The record is from the annotation of a GenBank genome assembly.
AACAAGUUUACACUCAACUCAUACGAAUUACAAAAAAGCGGAUACAUUACUUAGUAAAUGUUUUACAGCUACAUAAUAUAUAUGUUAUUUCCAGACUUAUAUAGUUAAUUACAUUAUUCAUUACCCUGUGAACUACUAUCGCUCAGUGAGACGGAUAGGGAAAGAGGCAAAAAACUGUAAAAGUACUUCAAAGGAUAAGGUAAAAGUAAGAGGAAUAUAUUUACUUUGGAAAACAGAGAGGACCCAAAGAACAUAAUAAACUACCAUAAGUUGGAGCGGAAGCUAUGCAUAUAUUUUAUAGAGAACAAAUAUGAGUUAUCAGGAAUUUCGGAAAAGAGCCAGGAUCCAUUAUAUUUUUACAUUCCUUUAAUAGAAAUAAAGGGCCAAGGGAGCCAGAUGGAUUGCAAAAUCUAUAUUCAUUAAGGAAUUUGAUUUAGCUGCGUUCUUCUCGAAAUCAGAAACUGAUUAGUACAAUAUUAAGUCUUUUAUCCCACGAUAUACUUUUCUAAUAAAAUAAAUAUUCUUAUAAAACUUUUCU